RNAcentral lists this long non-coding RNA (213 nucleotides) under Phoenix dactylifera (date palm). Its description in RNAcentral is "long non-coding RNA (PDAC_LNC001262)". The record is from RNAcentral. Lineage: Eukaryota; Viridiplantae; Streptophyta; Magnoliopsida; Arecales; Arecaceae.
CCGAAAUCAUUUGUCAAAAUUUAAAUUUUAUAAAAUAUUCCAAUGCAAGAAGUAAUAUAGCUGACAUAAUUGGAGUAAUAUAGUGCAUAAAUAUCUCUAGCAAUUAUAUUUCUCUCUGCUCUUAUCAUUCUUGUCCACAAUUAUGUAUCAGAUAGAGAGAGCAAAGAGAAAUAUAAUUCAUCAAUUAAUAAGCUGCGGUAUUGAUAAUAAAAU